UACAUAGGUCUCAAGCGUUGUUCGGAUUCAUUGGGCGUAAAGGGUGCGUAGGCGGCGCGGUAAGUCGGGUGUGAAAUCUUGGAGCUUAACUCCGAAACUGCAUUCGAUACUGCCGUGCUUGAGGACUGGAGAGGAGACUGGAAUUUACGGUGUAGCGGUGAAAUGCGUAGAUAUCGUGAGGAAGACCAGUGGCGAAGGCGGGUCUCUGGACAGUGCCUGACGCUGAGGCACGAAGGCCAGGGGAGCAAACGGG
RNAcentral lists this ribosomal RNA (253 nucleotides) under uncultured bacterium. Its description in RNAcentral is "partial 16S ribosomal RNA". It matches the Rfam family "Bacterial small subunit ribosomal RNA", at positions 524 to 776 of the family's 1533-position model. The record is from RNAcentral.